This 200-nucleotide long non-coding RNA is filed under the name Linum usitatissimum (flax). RNAcentral describes it as "long non-coding RNA (LUSI_LNC003734)". The record is from RNAcentral. Lineage: Eukaryota; Viridiplantae; Streptophyta; Magnoliopsida; Malpighiales; Linaceae.
UGUUAUAAAACUAAACUCAAAGAAAGACAAGAACAAGAGAAAUAUGGAGAGGGAGAGAGUUUCUUAUUGAGGUGUGGAGAAUGAUACAAAUGAGAGCUCUAUUUAUAGGCUCAUGGAAUAGUAACAUAUACUCUCUAACAUUACUACACAUAAAGGAGGGAAAUAAACUACAUUGAAUAAUACAAUAAACAUAGGAGUUA